This is a non-coding RNA of Mus caroli (Ryukyu mouse), 1440 nucleotides long. Lineage: Eukaryota; Metazoa; Chordata; Mammalia; Rodentia; Muridae. The record is from RefSeq and is a predicted model, not a curated record.
CGACAAACACCUCAACUAGAGUCUCAAGGAUGAACACCCCUUCUGAGGUCAAGAAGGAUCUGCUGGGAGUCGCAGAACGCCUGUGGCCAUCAGAGCCCAUCACCUUGGGGCCAGGGGCAUCUGCCUGGCAGCUGGUCUUGAAGAAGAUCAAGGAGUUGUCCAUCUCGGGCCGCCAAGAUGCCUUCAUGGUGGCUGACCUGGACGUGCUGGUCAGCCGCCAUCGGACCUUCCUCCAGGCCCUGCCCAGAGUCCAGCCCUUCUAUGCAGUCAAGUGUAACAGCAACCCCUGGGUGCUGCUCGUCUUAUCUGCCCUGGGCACUGGCUUUGACUGUGCCAGCCAGGGAGAGCUGGAGCAAGUGCUGGGCUUGGGCGUGGCCCCCUCGAGAGUCAUCUUCGCCAACCCCUGCAAGGCCGUCUCCCACAUCCAGUUCGCAGCCCGCUGUGGGAUGCAGCUUCUGACCUUCGACAGUGAGGAGGAACUGAUUAAGCUGGCCCGGUACCACCCGAGGGCUAGGUUGGUUCUCCGUAUACAGACCCGGGACAGUCAAAGCACCUUCCCUCUGCACACCAAGUUUGGAGCCCAUCUGGAGGCAUGUGGACACCUGCUCCAGGUUGCCAGAGAGCUGGGGUUGGCUGUGGUGGGGGCCUCCUUCCACGUGGGUUCCGACUGCCACACACCUGAGAGCUACAGACAGGCCAUCGCUGACUGCCAUAGUGUGUUUGAGAUGGGCUGCAAGGCUGGCCACCACAUGAGCCUCCUGGAUCUUGGAGGGGGCUUCCCAGGAGUUAAGGGCUCUGAAGCCAAAUUUGAAGAGAUGUCGAGAGUGAUCAACACUGCCCUGGCCCAGUACUUCCCGGAGGAGACCGGUAUCAAGGUCAUUGCAGAGCCUGGCCGCUUCUAUGCGGGGUCCGUGUGCACAGCUGCUGUGAACAUCAUAGCCAAGAAGUCUUCCCUGGAUCCAGGAGGCCACAGGAAGCUGGCAUACUACCUUAAUGAGGGCCAUUAUGGAGUCUUCCGACUCUUCCUCAGGGACUCUGUCCCCAGGAUACCCAUAGUGGUGAAGGAGUUCCUCUCGGAGCCCCCUCUCUUCUCUUCCCCUGCACGCUUUAUGGCCCCACAUGCGAUGCCUUUGACCGACUUUUUUCGACAGAGGUUCAGUUGCCAGAGCUGGAUGUAGGUGACUGGCUGAUUUUCCCUGACAUGGGUGCCUACAGUAGCUCCAUGAGUUCCACCUUCAAUGGCUUCCCGAUCUCAACUGUCUAUGAUGCCAUGAGCCCCCAACUCAGGAGCCUACUGGGGACAGUACCUUAGGCCAGGACAUGGCCAGAAUGAAGAGGAGUCAGACACCCAGUAUGAUAUGCCCACUGGGGAAAGCUUACUGUGAAAGGCCUAUGAGAUUGGUCCUUGGGGGAAAUGAGGCCUGGCCUCUUCUGCACUGA